UUCCGGGAAGGAGAGCGGAGCAUUUGCCUGUUAGGGUUGAUUGACCGCGUCCCAAAUUUACGAGUCCGAAGCAGAGUGGAGUUGUUUUUCACGUUUGUUUAACAUUUUAGAGAUUACAGUGCGCUUUUACAAACGCUAGAUCCUUACAAAAACCCUAUGAGGUAGGAAUUAUUGUCUUGCGUUUUGUAGGUGAGAAAAUUGCCCGCAGUGACCAGCCCCAAAUUUUUACACUUAGACUCAGGGAUGGAGCUUGAAUCCAAGUCCUGGUUCAAGUCCGAGUUUCUUCUGCUACACGGUAGCUGAAAAGUACUAAUUCUUAAUCAUAUGUUGUGUACUUAUUUACAAUUUCAUUGUACUUUUUUCCAGCCCGACUUACCUCCUCCAUAUACUUGUUUGGGGGGGGGGGCUGUAAGCAAGUUCUAUAAUAAUUGUAAAAAAGUUAAUAGCCAGAGGAACUGGCAUCAAGUACUGACUACCAACAACACUCGUUCUCCAUUUCACAGCUCCAGUUCCCUUUCCUCUGGAUAGGAAGGUAAGAUACCCCCUCGGUGAAGGUCUGCCCAACUUGAAAUAUCUGAACUUAGUCCACUUGCUCAGGUAAUGUGGAGGAUCAGAGUAUUUGAAACAGUCCUCUGGUUUCCAUUUUAGCUCCAUAAACUUAGAUUUUCCUUUGAGGUAGCCAAGCCAACGGCAAAUAGAUAGAAAAGGAUCUUUCUGUCACUGUCUCCAACUUUCUACCUAAGAAUUCCCGGAAUCUUCAGAAUAAAAAGGCCAUUCGUUAUGACACCAUUUUCAGAAGGGCAGACAAACUCCCUGGAUUCAGAGCCUGUCUCUAUCAUUUAUUAGCUGUAUAAUCUUUUAGGCCAGUUAACCUAACACUACCAUGCCUUCUUUUUUGGCAUCUGUAAAAUGGGGUUGUUAUGAAGGUAACAUGUAAACUACUAAAUAGUAACCAGAAUGUUGCUUAAUAAAAUGUUAGUAUUGGCAUUACUACUUUUCCCAACUUUUCAUGUCUUCACGCUCACCUUGUACCAUGGAAAACAAUAAAUAAAUAUGUUGGUCUCUGCCUCCUGUUUCUGACACUGGGCUCCUGAAAAUCUUGUCAAUUCCCAAGUGAUAGGUGCAUUGGAAGCAUCUUUUGUUUUGUGAGGGGACUCUGGAUGGGUUCUUAGAUGUGGUCUGGUCUCCAGGUAGAUAAAGCCUGAUUAGAAGCUUGGAAUUUUCAGCCCCUCCUCCCAUUCUAUAGAGAGGGGAGAAAGGCCGGAAAUGGGGUCAAUUGAUCACACCUACAUGAGGAAGACUUAAUAAAAUCCCAGUAGUAUGGAGUUUGGAGAGCUUCCAGGCUGGUGAACCCAUCCACAUACCAGGAAGAUUACACACCCCAACUCCACUAGGCAGAUGCUCCUACACUCCCAGACUUUCCCUGUGUAUCUGUUCAUCUGGUUGUUCAGGUUCUUCAUCUUUAUCCUUUACCAUAUCCUUUAAUAAACGGAGUUCUGUGAGUUGUUCUAUCCAAUAAUCAAAUUGAAGGGGAGGAGGUUAUGGAAACCUCCAGUUUAUAGCCAUGUUGGACAAAAGUUGUGGGUAACCCAGGCACUUAAUUACUUGCAAUUGGCAUCUGAACGGGGGCAGUCUUGUGGGACUGAGCCCUUAACCUGUGGGAUCAGAUGCUGUCUCCAGGUGUUGUCUCCAGUUUGACAGAGUCAGAAUUGAGCUAAAUCGUAGGAGACCCAGCUAGUGUCACAGAAUUGCUUGGUGAGGGAAAAACCCACAUCUGGUUUUAGAAGCGUUGUGAGUGUGGCAGUAGUGUGAAAAUAAAGGAGAAACAGAAAUGAGACCAGGUUUUUCCCUUUACAUACUGUAACCAUACUGUUGAUUCUCUGAGCAAUUAGUACUUCUCAGUCUUUCUGUGCAUAAGUAACUUGUUUUAUCUGCCUAUAAUUUGCAGUUUCUUACAUAUUCUCCCAAUUGACUCAAAUAUUUUUUUCAAGAAUCUUGGAGUUCCUGUUGUGGCGCAGUGGCUAAUGAAUCCGAUUAGGAACCAUGAGGUUUCGGGUUCGAUCCCGGGCCUUGCUCCUAGACUGCAGACGUGGCUUGGAUCCCGCAUUGCUGUGGCUCUGACGUAGGCCGGCGGCAAUAGCUCCAAUUCAACCACUAGCCGGGGAACCUCCAUAUGCCAUGGGAGCGGCCCUAGAAAAGGC
This 2201-nucleotide long non-coding RNA is filed under the name Sus scrofa (pig). RNAcentral describes it as "lncRNA (ENSSSCG00050027148.1)". Lineage: Eukaryota; Metazoa; Chordata; Mammalia; Artiodactyla; Suidae. The record is from RNAcentral.